AAGUCCCGCAAGGGAUCAGUAGAGUGGCAAACGGGUGAGUAACACGUGGGUGACCUGCCUUCGAGUGGGGGAUAACGUCCCGAAAGGGACGCUAAUACCGCAUGACAUCCUGCCUUUGAAGAGGUGGAGCUUAAAGCUGGGGAUCGCAAGACCUAGCGCUUGAAGAGGGGCCCGCGCCUGAUUAGCUAGUUGGUGAGGUAACGGCUCACCAAGGCAACGAUCAGUAUCCGGCCUGAGAGGGCGGACGGACACACUGGGACUGAGACACGGCCCAGACUCCUACGGGAGGCAGCAGUGGGGAAUUGUUCGCAAUGGGCGCAAGCCUGACGACGCAACGCCGCGUGGAGGAUGAAGAUCUUCGGG
Molecule: ribosomal RNA, 363 nt
Filed under: uncultured bacterium
Lineage: Bacteria
Description: bacterial SSU rRNA
Rfam family: Bacterial small subunit ribosomal RNA
Source: RNAcentral